Molecule: long non-coding RNA, 1388 nt
Filed under: Capra hircus (goat)
Lineage: Eukaryota; Metazoa; Chordata; Mammalia; Artiodactyla; Bovidae
Description: lncRNA (ENSCHIG00000002095.1)
Source: RNAcentral
AUGGAGCCGGCGGAGGCGGAACACUCCCACCCAGAGCGCGGCCUUGUGGUUGGCAAGACGGCGGACGCAGGCCAAAUACGCGCCCCGAGAGGGCCGGGGCCCGGGCUACCCUCCUUCCCUGCGCUCUGCGAGCCCCUAGGUGGCUCUGGGGAGGAUCACCCGCGCGGGGAUGGCGCCAACCCCUGUUCCCACUGCAACCCCGGGUUUCUUUUUGAGGCUGACCGGUGGCGCCCAGACAAACACGGUUGGUCAGCCCCGUCCUGUCCAGGAUCGAUGGCUGGCGACGUCCGGAGAGUGCCCAGGGGCGCUGCAGGCUCUAGGACCUGGAUUCCAGCACCCCGUUGUCCGGUUCAGUCCCACUCCCGACUGGGCUUUGCUCUUCUGUUCCGCCGGCCCAACUGCUCAGCGCAUAAGGGCUGGAAGCGAGGACCUACGUCCGGCGUCGCGCAGGCAGGGAUCAGAGCAGGGAGCGCGCAGAACACCACGGAGAUCGACCAGCCGACUCCGCAUCAGGUGCCGGGCGUACGCCUGGGGCGCUCCUCCCGGGUGGGCGUCCUAGUAGCACCACACAGCCAGGGAGAACAUCUCCUGCUCCCCCUGCUCUCAGCUGGCUAAGACCCUCCAGCGGUCAGCAAAGGGGGCCAGGCUGGUGCCCAAGUUUCUGCAGAUCCCCUCCUGAGAGAGGGGAGGAGUGCCCACCCCGCUCCUGCCAGGGCUCUGCAGGCCCCCGGGCUUCACUUCUGCAUUGCGACAGAGCGGAGCUGGUGGAUCUACCGGCGAGAGACGCCCAUUUCUCCUGAGCCAGGAAUUUUACACUCCGAGGAUGAGAAGGCUUCUCCCAGCCUAGCCUGCAACGCUCUCUUCUGAUUUUAUGUGAGCUUUUACCCUAAUAAACCUUUUAAAAUAUACACUAAUUGUGUUUAUUGUAUUCUUUUGUUAUCACGUGUGUCGUUAUGGGCAUGGCUCUCCCUGGGGUCUCAGGGCCUUUCCCAGCCUCACGCUGUGUUGUCUGUCCCUGUGGCUGUGUGUGGCUCUGUGUCCCUGUGUGUGUAUCUGUGCGUCCCUGUGUCUGUGUGUGGCUCUGUGUCCCUGUGUGUGUGUCUGGGUGUUCCUGUGGCUGUGUGUGUCUGUGUGUCCCUGUGGCUGUGUGUAUCUGUGUGUCCCUGUGAGUGUGUGUCUGUGUGUCCCAGUGAGUGUGUGUGUCUAUGUGUCCCUGUGUAUAUGUCUGUGUGUCCUUGUGUGUGUGUCUGUGUCUCCCUGUGGCCCUGUGUGUGUGUGUCUGCGUGUCCCUGUGAGUGUGUGUCUGUGGCCCUGUGUGUGUGUAUCUGUGUGUCCCUGUGGCUGUGUGUGUCUAUGUGUCCCUGUGGGUGUGUGUGUCUGUGUGUCCC